UUUUACUGCUAAAAGAAAGUUGAAGUGUGCAGUAUAGGGACAGGAGUUUCCUUCAGCUUGCAGAGACACUCCCACUGCAGGAGGAGAUGAGUUUGCUGCAAGUGUAAGGUGUGGAAAACCUUAAACGUGAUGUUGAGACAGCACAAGCUGCAGUAUCAGCUUUUAUUACAGGGCAGCUGCCUGGGUGGUGUCUCAGCUCGUUUUCAGAGGGGAGCACAGACCCAGCGUUCUGCCAUCAGCUAACUCCAGGGAAGAGCCUGCCUGCAAAAUACCGCUUGCCCCGGCAGCAGAUUUCUGCCACGAGGAGA
Molecule: long non-coding RNA, 308 nt
Organism: Oxyura jamaicensis (ruddy duck)
Lineage: Eukaryota; Metazoa; Chordata; Aves; Anseriformes; Anatidae
Exons: 3
Source: RefSeq, a predicted model, not a curated record